Rhagoletis zephyria (snowberry fruit fly) is the source of this 191-nucleotide long non-coding RNA. RefSeq lists it as uncharacterized. Lineage: Eukaryota; Metazoa; Arthropoda; Insecta; Diptera; Tephritidae. The record is from RefSeq and is a predicted model, not a curated record.
UAGAAAAUAUUUUAGUUUGAGCGUAACGUUGCAUACGUCGAGAUCGCGCGAUUCCGCGUUCCGUAUUUUUGAAUGAGUUAAAGCAGAAGAAGAAGAAGAGGAAAAAUAUUCAUAAAUCAUCAGCAAUUACAGCAGUGUCUUUGAAGUGCAAAUUUAUAGUGUGAGCAUCAUUGAAAUAGUGUAAAAGUAAA